RNA transcript from Glossina fuscipes, 1237 nucleotides. It is a transcript of the gene named NADH dehydrogenase [ubiquinone] 1 beta subcomplex subunit 7, with no coding region annotated. Lineage: Eukaryota; Metazoa; Arthropoda; Insecta; Diptera; Glossinidae. The transcript has 4 exons. The record is from RefSeq and is a predicted model, not a curated record.
CAUUUGGUCAGUGGCAAGUAAUCAGCUGUCAUACCAUUUAUUUUUUGGGAGUUUCAUAUUUGACGCUUUUACGUAAUUUAUAUCAAGCAAAAAAAAAAAAAAGAAAAAGAUGGGUAAUGCAUACCAUCGUGCUGUACACCCUGAUACCUUCCCGGGUCCUGAUUUUGAGCCGACGUUUGAUCCGCUACUUGGCGCGCCUAAUCGAAAAGUAAGAGUUUCAAAUGUUACCAAAGAGGAAAUGGUGUCGGCAAAAUUACCCCUCGAAGAUCGUGAUUAUUGUGCUGAUGUGCUACUUAAAUACAGAGCCUGUAGGACGAGGGUCUUCCCAUUUCUAUACAAAUGCCAUCAUGAAAGACACGAGUACUUGACUUGCGAAUAUGAAGAUUAUGUGUUGCGUAUGAAGGAGUUUGAACGUGAAAGGAGACUAUUGGAACGCCAAAAACGCAUCGAUGCUGCUGCUUAAUGAUAAUUUAGAAAAAAGAGAGGUAUAUCGACGAUCUGCUCUUCAAAUUGCUGUUUCAGGAUCAAUCUUAUUGCUGGUAAAAAUUUUAUCGUCGACAUAAUGUAACGUAAACUAUUUUUGACGACUAGUUCAAUGAUAAAUUAUUUUAGCUGUGCUUAACAUUUCUAUAAAUGUAUUACAUCGAGCUUGGAAUUAAGAAGAAAAAGAAAAAAAUGAGACAAACGUUAUUAUCAGCUACACUGAACAUAUCAAAUAAAAGCGACUGUUAAUUUAUUGCUAAAAUUGUGCACUUCAUAAAAGAAGAAGAAGAAAUUAAGGCGCAAAAUGCAAGACAAGGAAGCCAAUGUCAGGGAGAUGAAGUACGUAAGAGGAUACAGUGUCUAUGAAAAUUGGCAAGGUUUGGAUUUAACGGCUGCCGGGUAACUUAGAUCAUACGCUCUUCCGUAUUGAAAGCUCUAUCGCACUGGAGAUUUGAACUCGCAACCAUUGAUUUAUUCGCCACGAACCUUUGGCUACUCGGCUGAUCAUGCGAAUGAAUUAGUUCAUAUAUCCAAGAUCCAAAUUCAUAGCAGGCAUACGAUGUUUUUUUUUUUUUUUUGUAAUUAGAAUAUUAUUAUGCAAAGUGAUAUAAAAUGUAUGACUUUUUAAGAUAUUCGUUAAAAUUUCCAAAUCAAUGUAUUAUUAUCAAUCGAACAGCUCGAAUCUGGAGUGCAAUAGACAGCAUAGCUUUCAAUAAAGACGAUAGUCAUAGGUGCUAGUGCGCUUAAUACUUUA